RNAcentral lists this long non-coding RNA (321 nucleotides) under Brassica napus (rape). Its description in RNAcentral is "long non-coding RNA (BNAP_LNC009891)". The record is from RNAcentral. Lineage: Eukaryota; Viridiplantae; Streptophyta; Magnoliopsida; Brassicales; Brassicaceae.
UGGUUAUGGCCCAUAUCAAACCUACCUCUCUCCUUCGGCUCCGACUCUUCUUCUCCAUCACGAUCGUUUCCACUCUCCUCAGCUCUCAGCUACUUUGCAAUAACCAACACCCACUCUGAAUGAUUGAUCCAUGUUCUUAACUCCUUCAUUUAUGUCAGAUGUACCCUUCCACUUCUCAUUUGUUUUACACCUAUAUAAAUUCUUUGUUGGUUAAGCAAUUUACCAAAAUCUACAUCCUCCACAGUCGAAGAUCAACCCUCAUUCUUUUUUUUGUCUGUUUCGAAAUCUAGAUCUAAAACGCAAACAGUUAACUCUUCCACA